GUGGGGAAUAUUGGACAAUGGGCGCAAGCCUGAUCCAGCCAUGCCGCGUGAGUGAUGAAGGCCUUAGGGUUGUAAAGCUCUUUCGCCCGCGAAGAUAAUGACGGUAGCGGGAGAAGAAGCCCCGGCUAACUUCGUGCCAGCAGCCGCGGUAAUACGAAGGGGGCUAGCGUUGUUCGGAAUCACUGGGCGUAAAGCGCACGUAGGCGGACUUUUAAGUCAGAGGUGAAAGCCUGGAGCUCAACUCCAGAACUGCCUUUGAUACUGGGAGUCUUGAGUCCGGGAGAGGUGAGUGGAACUGCUAGUGUAGAGGUGAAAUUCGUAGAUAUUAGCAAGAACACCAGUGGCGAAGGCGGCUCACUGGCCCGGUACUGACGCUGAGGUGCGAAAGCGUGGGGAGCAAACAGGAUUAGAAACCCCAGUAGUCC
RNAcentral lists this ribosomal RNA (425 nucleotides) under uncultured bacterium. Its description in RNAcentral is "bacterial SSU rRNA". It matches the Rfam family "Bacterial small subunit ribosomal RNA", at positions 354 to 796 of the family's 1533-position model. The record is from RNAcentral.